UCAUCAUGUUCUUCAUCUUUGCCUUGGCCUUGAUAGGGAGAGUCUUUCAAUGUCAUAUUCUCCAUCUCCUUCUUUGUAGAAACUAUAUCAUCAAGUAAAUCUAUCUUUCUUGAUAGAAGAUUGUUAGACUCAUUAAGGAUGACAUGAAUGGAUGUUUCUACCACUAGAGCUCUUUCAUUGAAAAUUCUAUAAGCCUUACUAGUGGAAGAAUAUCCCAAAAAUGUGGCUUUUCAUUAUAUCUAGCAUUA
RNAcentral lists this long non-coding RNA (248 nucleotides) under Elaeis guineensis (African oil palm). RNAcentral's name for it is "long non-coding RNA (EGUI_LNC041845)". The record is from RNAcentral. Lineage: Eukaryota; Viridiplantae; Streptophyta; Magnoliopsida; Arecales; Arecaceae.